RNAcentral lists this long non-coding RNA (1536 nucleotides) under Callithrix jacchus (white-tufted-ear marmoset). RNAcentral's name for it is "lncRNA (ENSCJAG00000051806.2)". Lineage: Eukaryota; Metazoa; Chordata; Mammalia; Primates; Cebidae. The record is from RNAcentral.
UAUUGGUCUUACAUUCUGCACAGGGGCAUAACAAAUGUCUAUUCUGGGGCCCAGGCUUUAGGGAGUUCAGGAUUUUGUAAGAACACAUAUCCACACACCAUAAACAUACACUUAUUAAAGGAUAUGUGUGCUCUGAUGUUAUUCAGAAUCAAGGACUUAGCAGGGGUAGAGUCUGAGUCAUAACUCCAAAUGUUCCCUGCCAUAGCCAACAACAUUCCAGAAACCCGGGGGACAACCCUUCUCUAGGAGUUUUGCCCUAUGGCCUAGAAAUAAAAGACAACUGUGCUUCCAUAGCAUGAAAAUGUUUUGCAUGGAUAAAUAUGAAGAUGAACACUGCUUCGGAAAGCAAGCAGAAUCUGAACAGUAGAAACACACAGAAUGAAUCAUCGGAUUCUUUUUCACUUAUUUUCUUCCCUAUUGGACCAGAUAUCUUCUUUUUGCCCUUCCGUAAAGACUUCCCACCCAUCUCCCUGCUGCUCUUUGCCAUCGCAGGCUAACCUGUUUUGGAAGGAUUUGAAAACUUAUUCCCACACAAAAUGUUUCACGUGGAUAUUCAUGGUUGUCAAACUUAGAAGCGACCACGAAGUCUGCCAGUAUAAAUAAAUUAGGGUACAUCCAAAUAAUGCGAUAUUAUUCAGCACUAAAAAAGAAAUGAGCUAUCAAGCCAUGAAAAGAAAUGGAGGAAACUUAAGUGUACAUUACUAAGUAAAAGAACUCAGCUGAAAAAGGCUACCUACUAUAUGAUUCCACCUACGUGACAUUCUGGAAAAAGCAAAGCUAUGGAGACAAUAAAAGAAUUCAUGGCUGUCAAGAUAUAGAGAGGAAGGAAGGAUAAAAAGGCAGAGCACCGAGGAUGUUUUGAGGCAGUGAAAAUACUCUGUAUGAGGUUAUAAUAGUGGAUACAGGGAAUUAUACGUAUGUCCAUACCACAGAAUGCACAAAUCCAAGAGUGAACCAUAUGAAAACCAAGAGCUUUGGGUGAUAAUGAUGUCAGUGUGGGAUUAUCAAUUGUAAUAAAUGUACCACUCUGGUGGGCGAUGUUGAUAAUGUAAGAGGCUAUGCUUGUGUGGGGCAGGGGUAUAUGGGUUAUCUCUGCUUCUUAUGCUCAAUUUUGCUGUGAAUCUAAAACUGCUCUAAAAAAAUUAAGCCUUUAAAAUAAAUUAACAACAAUAACAACAACAAACACAUAUAAAAACAAAGGAAAUCUAAAGGAUGGAGUGAGAGAUUUUUCUAUCAGCAAUGAGGGUAACUAGGCAUUCUUGGUAAUGUAUUGGCCCCCUAAGGGUAUCUAUGCCCUAAUCUCCAGACCCUGUGACUACAUGACAAGAGGGGAUUACAGUUACUAAUCAGCUGCCUUUAAAUUUAAAUUUUCCUGGGUUAUCAGUGUGAGUUUAAUGUAAUCACAAGGGUUUACAUGUAGAAAAGGAAGGUUGAAGAGUCAGUGUAGGAGAGAGGUUUGGGGACACUGCACAGCUGGUUUUGAAGACGGAGGAAAGGGCUAUAAGCCAAGGAACCUAAGCAGCCUCUAGAAGCUGA